This 262-nucleotide ribosomal RNA is filed under the name uncultured prokaryote. Its description in RNAcentral is "partial 16S ribosomal RNA". It matches the Rfam family "Bacterial small subunit ribosomal RNA", at positions 524 to 784 of the family's 1533-position model. The record is from RNAcentral.
UACGUAGGGUGCGAGCGUUGUCCGGAAUUACUGGGCGUAAAGAGCUCGUAGGUGGUUUGUCGCGUCGUCUGUGAAAUUCCGGGGCUUAACUCCGGGCGUGCAGGCGAUACGGGCAAUACUUGAGUGCUGUAGGGGAGACUGGAAUUCCUGGUGUAGCGGUGAAAUGCGCAGAUAUCAGGAGGAACACCGAUGGCGAAGGCAGGUCUCUGGGCAGUAACUGACGCUGAGGAACGAAAGCAUGGGUAGCGAACAGGAUUAGAUA